CUAGCUGCCUUUGAGUAGGAUGUGAAUCACUGAGAAAUGUAAUGACUUUCUUCCAGACUGUUGGUGGUGGAGCAGUACAAGAGAGGGUGCCAGAGUUGGAUAGCAGUGGGCCAACAGAGCAAGACAAAAACCAUUCUAACAGCAGCACCUUGUCUGACCGAAGACUCAGCAACACCAGCCUUUGUAGCAUUGAAGAAGAGUACCGAACGGUGUAUGAAAUGGUGCAGCGGAUUCUCUUGUCAACACGUGGUUAUGUCAAUUUUGUGAAUGAAGUAUUUCGCCAGGUUAGUGUGUGCUUAUGCAUGUGUUAUCAGUUUAUGAAACUGAAGAAAUUUUUGUUCUUGCUUGUAUUAGCCAGCUUCCUGUUACUCUAGAAAAUACCUGAGAUAAAUAGAUUUGAAAAGAUAAAAGGCUUAUUUUAGCUUACAGUUUUGGAGGUGUUAGUCCAUGACCAGUUGACUCUCUCACUUUAUCCCUGU
This 479-nucleotide long non-coding RNA is filed under the name Marmota monax (woodchuck). Lineage: Eukaryota; Metazoa; Chordata; Mammalia; Rodentia; Sciuridae. The record is from RNAcentral.